UUAGCAUACGAAAAAGUUUUGCUCAAAGAAGAAGAGGAAAUGGAGUUUCAGGUGGAUGAUGAGGCAGAUUCAUUGGGGGUUGAAAACUUUGAUCUGGACCGUGGAUUCUACAAUGGCUGGGACAUCAUAGAGUUUGAGGGAUUUGAUAGCUCUGAAUGGAGUCAAGAAUGAUGUCUAUUUAUGUGUUACUUGACAAACGUCCAUGGAGAUAAGAAGGCGUUUGGAAAUAUGCAGUUUUUUGAGCACCUUGUAUAAUCUGGAGCAAUUCACCUGUCUUACUCCUGGUGACAAGGAAAUCAAGUGGAAGGAGUGGGCUUUCAUUAUCCUCUCCUACCAAAGGCAAGUCAUUUGGCUAUUGUACAGUAACAUUAGGCUUCUUACCCUUUUUCUUAUUUUUCUUAAUUUUUUUUUUUAUGGGUGAAGGGGGGGAGGGGGGAUAUAUACAGACUCUGCAAAUGAAAUUAGCAACGUUUUGGCUUCAUUUGCUUUUUGUAGGGAUGUUGGUACAUGUAACUCCCAUUUUGAAAUCAUAUAGAGUUUCAUUCAAUGACUGAAUCAGACCUCACUCAGCCUUGCUUGUUUGUUUUUAAUCAUUAAAAUGAAAAUUUUGCUUCUUGUUUUAAAUGAGGUUGAGAGACCCCGCAGUGUAUGUUUGGUUAUGGUUGAUCAAAAGCUUUAUAAAUCAUCACUGAUGUGGGUGGAUAUUUG
Molecule: long non-coding RNA, 708 nt
Organism: Telopea speciosissima
Lineage: Eukaryota; Viridiplantae; Streptophyta; Magnoliopsida; Proteales; Proteaceae
Exons: 4
Source: RefSeq, a predicted model, not a curated record